RNAcentral lists this ribosomal RNA (906 nucleotides) under Broxylus pfeifferi. RNAcentral describes it as "SSU rRNA". It matches the Rfam family "Eukaryotic small subunit ribosomal RNA", at positions 911 to 1774 of the family's 1831-position model. Lineage: Eukaryota; Metazoa; Arthropoda; Insecta; Coleoptera; Lycidae. The record is from RNAcentral.
GUGAAAUUCUUGGACCGUCGCAAGACGGACAGAAGCGAAAGCAUUUGCCAAAAACGUUUUCAUUGAUCAAGAACGAAAGUUAGAGGUUCGAAGGCGAUCAGAUACCGCCCUAGUUCUAACCAUAAACGAUGCCAGCUAGCGAUCCGCCGACGUUCCUCCGAUGACUCGGCGGGCAGCUUCCGGGAAACCAAAGCUUUUGGGUUCCGGGGGAAGUAUGGUUGCAAAGCUGAAACUUAAAGGAAUUGACGGAAGGGCACCACCAGGAGUGGAGCCUGCGGCUUAAUUUGACUCAACACGGGAAACCUCACCAGGCCCGGACACCGGAAGGAUUGACAGAUUGAGAGCUCUUUCUUGAUUCGGUGGGUGGUGGUGCAUGGCCGUUCUUAGUUGGUGGAGCGAUUUGUCUGGUUAAUUCCGAUAACGAACGAGACUCUGGCCUGCUAACUAGGCGUAUUUCCGACAUCUCGAAGACACCGCCGGCUUGGUGUGCUCGUCACUCCUAGUCGUGCGCGGUUUUUACUGUCGGCGUACAAACAAUUCUUCUUAGAGGGACAGGCGGCUUCUAGCCGCACGAGAUAGAGCAAUAACAGGUCUGUGAUGCCCUUAGAUGUUCUGGGCCGCACGCGCGCUACACUGAAGGAAUCAGCGUGUCUUCCCUGGCCGAGCGGCCCGGGUAACCCGCUGAACCUCCUUCGUGCUAGGGAUUGGGGCUUGAAAUUGUUCCCCAUGAACGAGGAAUUCCCAGUAAGCGCGAGUCAUAAGCUCGCGUUGAUUACGUCCCUGCCCUUUGUACACACCGCCCGUCGCUACUACCGAUUGAAUGAUUUAGUGAGGUCUUCGGACCGGCACGCGGUGGCGUUUCUACGUCGCCGAUGCUGCUGGAAAGAUGACCAAACUUGAUCAUUU